Molecule: long non-coding RNA, 1200 nt
Organism: Numida meleagris (helmeted guineafowl)
Lineage: Eukaryota; Metazoa; Chordata; Aves; Galliformes; Numididae
Exons: 3
Source: RefSeq, a predicted model, not a curated record
UUACAUUUGUUUGAAUUUUUCCACAGCAUUAUAUUAUUUUGAGCUGGACUUACACGGUGUGUUUUACAUACAAAGCUAACGGGCUGGUGGUGGUCAUUACUGAGCCAACACUGAUAAGAGGGAAGGGUCAGCAACAGGAUUGGUUUGGGGAGUAAGAGAGUCCUCCCUGCUCAGUGAGGUCAGUAAUCCAAUUUCUUUUGUGCCUGACUGUAUCUCUUCAGGGUCACCUAACCAGAUCCUUCUCCUCCGCAGGCUCUGCUGCAGUGGUAAUUUUUUCCAGCAAUAAUACCUUUUGGAGCUCUCUUGGGGACAGACCCAUGGCCUGUUUUUUCUAGGUCUCUCCACAAGGACAAGAGAAUUGAUCCGUGGCAUUUCAUCUUCAUUCCACCUUCGAAUGUCAUCCAGCCAUGCUGCAACAGCUUUACUGCACAGAAGCUCCACAUCACUGUUCUGAUGUGCCAUUACACUUCGGUGGUGUAUCACCAGACCAGGAACUCACAAGGGGUUGAGCUUUGGCCUCACUGAAGACAACAGCACCUGCUGCCAGGCAUGGAAUGGAACGAAAGGAGACCUGACACGUCCCUCUCUUCAGCAAGAGCUGACACUACCUCUGGUGAGAAGUCUUCCAAGGUGAAAAUGCCAAAGUGAAGCCACCUCAGAUCUGCAUCCACCCUUCCACCUGCUGUGUCUUCUCCCCGAUGAGGCACUUGCUUUACUCUCAAAGGACUGCCAUCACCUUCUGUCCUUCAGCAAAGCUCAGCACGGGCUGGGUGAAUAACUCAACAUAAAGCUGGCAUAAAUCUCAACAGGAGAAAUAUCUUUUAUCUUUAACCAUUUACUCCCACUAGGAAUAAUGGCAGUUCUUUUACAUUUACAUAUAACUCUUUUUUGUUUGUUUGCUUUGAUUUUUUUUGUCUCUUUGUCUUGGCACCUGCAUAGCAGAAAUCUUUACAGUUCAUUACAGAAAUUUGCCCCUCUCUCAGAUCCUCCCUUUAUUUAUUUACCCUGCUGCCCCUGAGGACUAGCAAGCAACACCUCCAAGGUCAAGAGAGAGUAAGGUGUUACUCUUUUAUGACGGAUUAUAGAAAUAACAAACAUGCCUGACAGUUUUAUACAGCUGCUAGAACGGGUUUAGUUUUCAACAAAUGGAGAAUUUCCUCUUUUUUUUCUCUUUUGUAUAUUAAUUACAUUUUACAAAUU